This 276-nucleotide unclassified non-coding RNA is filed under the name fungal sp. Its description in RNAcentral is "partial internal transcribed spacer region". The stretch from base 1 to 46 matches the Rfam family "Eukaryotic small subunit ribosomal RNA", at positions 1786 to 1831 of the family's 1831-position model. The record is from RNAcentral. Lineage: Eukaryota; Fungi.
AAGUCGCAACAAGGUUUCCGUAGGUGAACCUGCGGAAGGAUCAUUGACAAAUCUAAAACAACAACUGUCUCUCUCCCCCUAACAGGAGGAAAGAGCAGUUUAUUCUAACCUGUGAAUCGGCAGUUCGCAAGAGCUGUUUGCGUUUGGUGUUGGGUUGCCUUGUGCAGCUUCAGCCAAACUGCACACAUAAACGUCUACAUAACUGUCUAAGCAGCAUCAUUUUGUUGCGUAAAAAUCACAAAAACACAACUUUUAGCAAUGGAUCUCUUGGCUUCU